RNAcentral lists this ribosomal RNA (881 nucleotides) under uncultured soil bacterium. RNAcentral describes it as "SSU rRNA". It matches the Rfam family "Bacterial small subunit ribosomal RNA", at positions 640 to 1533 of the family's 1533-position model. The record is from RNAcentral.
GUUAUGGAUUGGCAGAGGGAUCAGGCAUUCCUAGUGAGGCGCUGGAAUACGGGGUAUCUGAUGCACUCGGUGCCGAGGCGCAUCCUGACCAAUUCAGUCGUGAGGAUGAAACCUAGGGACCAGACUUGAUCAGAUAUCUAGGUAGUCCUACCGCUAAACGAGGAAUGCUGCGUCUGUCUGGGUAUCGAUACCCAUGUACAUAAGAAGCAGUUUCACCAUUACGCCGAGGGAGUACAGUUGCAAGUCUGAAACUCAAAGGAAUGACGUGGCGCCCGCGCAAUCCGAACAACAUGUGGUUCAAUUCUACUCAACGCGAAGAACCUUACCCAGUCUUGAGCAGUGAUUGAUCAUUCCCGUCAGUGAACUUGGUGAAGGACACUCGUAGAGUUUGUUGCAUGGCUGUCGUCAGCUCGUGUCGUGAGAUUUUGGGUUAAGUCCCGCAACGAGUCAAAACCUUGUCGGCUGUUGCCAUCAGGUAAUAAAAAAAAACUUUGCAGAGACGUCCGGUGAUAAUCUGAAUGAAGGUGGGGAUGUCGUCAAGUCAGCACGGCCUUUAUGUCGUGGGCUACACGAGUGCUUCAAUGGCCGGUACAAACAGUGGCAAAACCGCAAUGUCCAACUAAUCGGAGAAAGCCUGUCUCAGUUCGAUUUCCAGCCGGCAACUGGCAUGCUGUCAGUUGGAAUCACUAUUCAUUUCGGAUCGUUCCCCUCUCGCUUGGGACCUUCUCGCCCCUUUUUCACUCCCCCCGUCACAUCUCGAAAGCCCCUGUAGGAGAAGUCGGAACUCCUCAAGGGAGAGCGCGCCUGGGUAGGGAAAUCACACUAAGUCGUACAAGAAACCGUAAGGAAGCACGGCCACUAAAUCAAUCGCCCUAUAUAGC